RNAcentral lists this long non-coding RNA (577 nucleotides) under Salvia miltiorrhiza (redroot sage). Its description in RNAcentral is "long non-coding RNA (SMIL_LNC009892)". The record is from RNAcentral. Lineage: Eukaryota; Viridiplantae; Streptophyta; Magnoliopsida; Lamiales; Lamiaceae.
AUUAAGCUUGCAAGACAUGGUCUUCCAUAAAAAUAGGAAUAUUGGUUAACUAACUUAACCAACAAGACUACUUUGGCUCCAAGUAAAUCUUAGAGGCCAUGUCCACAUCCCACGUUCUCAGCCAUGAUUUUCUUGCCCACCAACCAUAAUGUACAUCUAUAAAUAUGGGCAAAGCAUACUACGUUCGGUACCGGUCCAUUCAUGAAGAAACACAAGUGUUGAGUAACAGGAUUUCGAAGCUAGAUUGUUCCAACAUAUAUCUCGAUAUCUAGUCAAUCACACCUUGAGCGGGAGACUAGUGUGUCUAGCAUACCUUGAGUGAGAGACUCAUAUGUUAGGGCUAGUAAGUAACUUAGUAGGUUUGUAUUUUUGUGAUUCAUAGAUUAGCUUUAUUAAAAGUCUAACAUGACUUUGCCCGAUCAACAAAAAAAAAAAAAAAGCUUUAUUAAAAGUCUUGUUGUCGCUAGCAUCGUUGAUAUGAUUAGAAGUGAUUUCAUUUCUUAUCAAUACCAGGGAUUCUAUUGAGUGAAUUCAUGUACCUUCAUUGUAAAAUAAAUUUUUAUAGUGAACACACAAC